This 631-nucleotide ribosomal RNA is filed under the name uncultured marine bacterium. RNAcentral's name for it is "bacterial SSU rRNA". It matches the Rfam family "Bacterial small subunit ribosomal RNA", at positions 8 to 619 of the family's 1533-position model. The record is from RNAcentral.
AGAGUUUGAUCCUGGCUCAGGAUGAACGCUGGCGGCGUGCCUAAUACAUGCAAGUCGAGCGAACUGAUUAGAAGCUUGCUUCAAUGACGUUAGCGGCGGACGGGUGAGUAACACGUGGGUAACCUGCCUAUAAGACUGGGAUAACUUCGGGAAACCGAAGCUAAUACCGGAUAGGAUCUUCUCCUUCAUGGGAGAUGAUUGAAAGAUGGUUUCGGCUAUCACUUACAGAUGGGCCCGCGGUGCAUUAGCUAGUUGGUGAGGUAACGGCUCACCAAGGCAACGAUGCAUAGCCGACCUGAGAGGGUGAUCGGCCACACUGGGACUGAGACACGGCCCAGACUCCUACGGGAGGCAGCAGUAGGGAAUCUUCCGCAAUGGACGAAAGUCUGACGGAGCAACGCCGCGUGAGUGAUGAAGGCUUUCGGGUCGUAAAACUCUGUUGUUAGGGAAGAACAAGUACAAGAGUAACUGCUUGUACCUUGACGGUACCUAACCAGAAAGCCACGGCUAACUACGUGCCAGCAGCCGCGGUAAUACGUAGGUGGCAAGCGUUAUCCGGAAUUAUUGGGCGUAAAGCGCGCGCAGGCGGUUUCUUAAGUCUGAUGUGAAAGCCCACGGCUCAACCCGUGGA